UGACAUGUGACUCAUUCAUGUCCAAAACUCAUCAUUGCAAAGACCAUGAAAUCCUUAUGCAGUUCAACGGCUGCAAUUAUCUUUGCCAUGACAUUGAUCCUUUCAAUUGGGGUGAUUUUGUCCCAAUCUAGGACUCACCCUUCUUCUUCACCCUCAGUUUCAAAAAUGUCACAAUCCUCAAAAUCUCUUUCAGAUUCACUUUUUCACAUAGAAGACCAAAAAUCAACUGAGGAACCUGUGGUAGCUGCUAGCCUUAAAAGGAUACCACCUAGCACACCAAAUCCUAUACAGAACUAGUAUGAUUUCCCUUUUCUUCACCGUGUUAUUUUUAUGAUAAAAUCUAGAAAUUGACAGAAAAAGGGUGCAUGUGCAGCAGGUUGAAGCCUAUGAAAAGGAACUAAAGAGAGGAAUUGAUGGCAUGGAUUGGAGUAUAUAUGAAGAUUCAAAGCCGUGGCAUGAACUCUGUUGGUCUCUAGUUUCUAUUUUUUAUUUUUAUUUUUCAGUGUUUUACUGUUUCAACAGCUUCAAAUUAUUAGGGUUUUUUUUAGUGAGAGUGGUAUAGUUCAUGACUUUAGAAUUUAUAUUGCUCUUUAUUUUCUCUUAACUUUGAUGUUUUAGAUUGGAGAGAAUAUAUGAACCUAUGAUGUAAAGGGGAAAAACAAUAGCCAUGUGUUAAUGGUGAUAACUUUAUGAGUUUUUUUUCUUCUGAAUUUUGAAGAUUUUUAAGUUGAAAAGAUAAUUUUUACAGUGAUUUUAAC
This 758-nucleotide long non-coding RNA is filed under the name Glycine max (soybean). RNAcentral describes it as "long non-coding RNA (GMAX_LNC002949)". The record is from RNAcentral. Lineage: Eukaryota; Viridiplantae; Streptophyta; Magnoliopsida; Fabales; Fabaceae.